This 216-nucleotide ribosomal RNA is filed under the name Glomeromycotina sp. RNAcentral describes it as "partial small subunit ribosomal RNA". The stretch from base 40 to 216 matches the Rfam family "Eukaryotic small subunit ribosomal RNA", at positions 686 to 864 of the family's 1831-position model. Lineage: Eukaryota; Fungi; Glomeromycota. The record is from RNAcentral.
GGGUCAGGAGGUUGGUCGUGCCACCGGUACGUACUGGUCUCACUGAUUCCUCCUUCCUGAAGAACCGUAAUGCCAUUAAUUUGGUGUUGCGGGGAAACAGGACUGUUACUUUGAAAAAAUUAGCGUGUUUAAAGCAAGCUAACGCUUGAAUACAUUAGCAUGGAAUAAUGAAAUAGGACGAUCGAUCCUAUUUUGUUGGUUUCUAGGAUUGACGUA